CCUACGGGAGGCAGCAGUGAGGAAUAUUGGUCAAUGGACGCAAGUCUGAACCAGCCAUGCCGCGUGCAGGAAGACGGUCCUAUGGAUUGUAAACUGCUUUUGUACGGGAAGAAACACUCCUACGUGUAGGAGCCUGACGGUACCGUAAGAAUAAGGAUCGGCUAACUCCGUGCCAGCAGCCGCGGUAAUACGGAGGAUCCAAGCGUUAUCCGGAAUCAUUGGGUUUAAAGGGUCCGUAGGCGGUUUAAUAAGUCAGUGGUGAAAUCUGGUCGCUCAACGAUCAAACUGCCAUUGAUACUGUUAGACUUGAAUUACUGUGAAGUAACUAGAAUAUGUAGUGUAGCGGUGAAAUGCUUAGAUAUUACAUGGAAUACCAAUUGCGAAGGCAGGUUACUAACAGUUGAUUGACGCUGAUGGACGAAAGCGUGGGGAGCGAACAGGAUUAGAUACCCUGGUAGUCCACGCCGUAAACGAUGGAUACUAGUUGUUUGGAUUUAUCUGAGUGACUAAGCGAAAGUGAUAAGUAUCCCACCUGGGGAGUACGAACGCAAGUUUGAAACUCAAAGGAAUUGACGG
RNAcentral lists this ribosomal RNA (576 nucleotides) under uncultured Bacteroidota bacterium. RNAcentral describes it as "bacterial SSU rRNA". It matches the Rfam family "Bacterial small subunit ribosomal RNA", at positions 338 to 916 of the family's 1533-position model. Lineage: Bacteria; Pseudomonadati; Bacteroidota. The record is from RNAcentral.